Arvicanthis niloticus (Nile rat) is the source of this 102-nucleotide small nucleolar RNA. RefSeq annotates it as small nucleolar RNA U13. The record is from RefSeq and is a predicted model, not a curated record. Lineage: Eukaryota; Metazoa; Chordata; Mammalia; Rodentia; Muridae.
AUCCUUUCUGGUUCAUAAAGUUUGAUGAUUGGGUUCACGCCAUUGCAUGAUAUGUGCCGCCUACAAACCUUGUUAUGACAUGGGCACAUUACCUGUCUGACG